CUGUUAUUCAAUAUGACCAAUUUAUUUGUGUUUACUGUGUUGUGAAAUUUAAUAAAACUUUAAGUUUCGUCAAUGAUUUACAAAAUUAAGUGCGAAAUCACAUCAUAAAUGCAACUGUUGUCGUUAAUCCACUGCUUACUAUCUUUGGUGUGUCCGUCAUAAAAGGAUUUAGCUGCAUGUGUUAUUAACAAGCUUUAAGAUUGAUAUAUGUCUAACCUCUUUUGAAUGGUACACACUUUCUAUAAGAAUUUCAGCCAGUACCCCUCCCAUUGUAGCUUACCCGAU
RNAcentral lists this long non-coding RNA (285 nucleotides) under Mytilus galloprovincialis (Mediterranean mussel). The record is from RNAcentral. Lineage: Eukaryota; Metazoa; Mollusca; Bivalvia; Mytilida; Mytilidae.